RNAcentral lists this ribosomal RNA (429 nucleotides) under uncultured bacterium. RNAcentral's name for it is "bacterial SSU rRNA". It matches the Rfam family "Bacterial small subunit ribosomal RNA", at positions 355 to 775 of the family's 1533-position model. The record is from RNAcentral.
UCGAGAAUCAUUCGCAAUGGUCGCAAGCCUGACGGUGCGACGUCGCGUGGAGGAUGAAGGUCUUCGGAUUGUAAACUCCUGUCAUGUGGGAUAAAUGGCCAGGGCAUGAAUAGUGCCUUGGAAUGAUAGUACCACAGGAGGAAGGGACGGCUAACCCUGUGCCAGCAGCCGCGGUAAUUCAGAGGUCCCGAGCGUUGUUCGGAUUUACUGGGCGUAAAGGGAGCGUAGGCGGUUUGGUGUGUCGAAUGUGAAAGCCCACAACUCAACUGUGGAAUGGCAUUCGAAACUACUGAGCUAGAGUACUGGAGAGGAGAGCGGAAUUCUUGGUGUAGCGGUGAAAUGCGUAGAUAUCAAGAGGAACACCGGUGGCGAAGGCGGCUCUCUGGACAGAUACUGACGCUGAGGCUCCAAAGUUAGGGGAGCAAACAG